AUUGAACGCUGGCGGCAUGCCUUACACAUGCAAGUCGAACGGCAGCACGGGUGCUUGCACCUGGUGGCGAGUGGCGAACGGGUGAGUAAUACAUCGGAACGUACCUUAUCGUGGGGGAUAACGCAGCGAAAGCUGUGCUAAUACCGCAUACGCCCUGAGGGGGGAAAGCGGGGGAUCGCAAGACCUCGCGCGAUUAGAGCGGCCGAUGCCUGAUUAGCUAGUUGGUGGGGUAAAAGCCCACCAAGGCGACGAUCAGUAGCUGGUCUGAGAGGACGAUCAGCCACACUGGGACUGAGACACGGCCCAGACUCCUACGGGAGGCAGCAGUGGGGAAUUUUGGACAAUGGGGGCAACCCUGAUCCAGCAAUGCCGCGUGAGUGAAGGAGGCCUUCGGGUUGUAAAGCUCUUUUGUCAGGGAAGAAACACCGGCUCUAACACAGUCCGGGAAUGACGGUACCUGAAGAAUAAGCACCGGCUAACUACGUGCCAGCAGCCGCCGUAA
Molecule: ribosomal RNA, 502 nt
Filed under: uncultured bacterium
Lineage: Bacteria
Description: partial 16S ribosomal RNA
Rfam family: Bacterial small subunit ribosomal RNA
Source: RNAcentral